Molecule: ribosomal RNA, 460 nt
Filed under: uncultured bacterium
Lineage: Bacteria
Description: partial 16S ribosomal RNA
Rfam family: Bacterial small subunit ribosomal RNA
Source: RNAcentral
CCUACGGGAGGCAGCAGUGAGGAAUAUUGGUCAAUGGACGAGAGUCUGAACCAGCCAAGUAGCGUGAAGGAUGACUGCCCUAUGGGUUGUAAACUUCUUUUAUAUGGGAAUAAAAUGUUCCACGUGUGGGAUUUUGUAUGUACCAUAUGAAUAAGGAUCGGCUAACUCCGUGCCAGCAGCCGCGGUAAUAGGGGGGAUCCGAGGUUUUCCCGGAUUUAUUGGGUUUAAGGGGAGCGUAGGUGGAUUGUUAAGUCAGUUGUGAAAGUUUGCGGUUCAACCGUAAAAUUGCAGUUGAAACUGGCAGUCUUGAGUACAGUAGAGGUGGGCGGAAUUCGUGGUGUAGCGGUGAAAUGCUUAGAUAUCACGAAGAACUCCGAUUGCGAAGGCAGUUCACUGGACUGCAACUGACACUGAGGCUCGAAAGUGUGGGUAUCAAACAGGAUUAGAUACCCUGGUAGUC